GAGGUCAUAUUUGGGGCCACACCCCCGAGCCCCUUGCGCAAUUAUGAGCAAAAACAAAACAAAACAAAACAAAACCCACACAGGUGGGGGUGCUGAUUGUACGCGACUGCUGGGGAUGUGGUGUUGGCGUCUGUGGGUUUGUGCCCUGUGAGUAUAUGUGGUUUUGCAGUUGGGGUGUGGGCACCCACGUCAGCCCUCGUGGCGCCUGAAGUGUGCGUAGACGAGCCUUUAGCGUUGGAACUAGUGUCUCCGGGAUCGGCCGCGAGAACGAGAUCGAGAAGAGACUAAGAGGAAGGGAGAGACAGUACAACACUGAUUUCACCAUCCAUGGAGCUUUCCCCAGUGCUAAGGAGAGGCUUCACUACUUCAGGCCAACUUUUUCAGAUCAGAAGACAAAGAGAGAAGUAAGAAGGAAAGAUAACACAACACUGAAACUUUUCCCAUGUGAUGAGGCUUGAACCUGGGUCAUGGACAUAGCAAAUAUGGACCCAGGAUCAUUAUGGGAUGCGGAAGUUGGAAGGUCUGGCUUCUGUAAUUGUUUCUCCACUGAACAUGGGCAUUGACAGUGGGACAGGGUUCUGGAGAACUGGGGAUCCAGGAUACAUUGGUGAGGCCAUCUGCCCAGGGAAGUCAGGUUGGCAUCAUGGUAGCAUCUGCAACUUGGUGGCUGAAAAGCAUUAAGAUGUAAAGCAGAACAAUUUGUUUAAUAAUCAGGAACCUAAAGAAUAAUGCUGUUUUAAAACUCAAAAUCACUUCAUAUGUGAGCCAGGAAGAAAGUUAUGUGGGCUUCUGAAGGGGGGUGAAUACUAUAUGAAUGAAACCACCAGGUUCCAGAUGAUACCAUGAUGCCAACCUGACUUCCCUGGACAGAUGACCCCACCAAUGUGUCCUGGAACUCCACUUCCUCAGAGCCCUGCCCCACUAAGGAAAGAGACAGACAGGCUGGGAGUAUGGAUCAACCUGCCAAUGCCCAUGUUCAGUGGGGAAGCAAUUACAGAAGCUGGACCUUCCACCUUCUGCACCCCAUAAUGACCCUGGGCCCAUACUCCCAGAGGCAUAAAGAAUAGGAAAGCCAUCAGGGGAGGGGAUGGGAUACAGAGCUCUGGUGAUGGGAACUGUACCCCUCUUAUCCUAUGGUUUUGUCAGUGUUUCCAUUUUAUAAAUAAAUACAUUAAAAGAAAAAAA
Erinaceus europaeus (western European hedgehog) is the source of this 1185-nucleotide long non-coding RNA. RefSeq lists it as uncharacterized. The transcript has 7 exons. The record is from RefSeq and is a predicted model, not a curated record. Lineage: Eukaryota; Metazoa; Chordata; Mammalia; Eulipotyphla; Erinaceidae.